Camellia sinensis is the source of this 209-nucleotide non-coding RNA. NCBI's taxonomy places the organism in Eukaryota, Viridiplantae, Streptophyta, Magnoliopsida, Ericales, Theaceae. The record is from RefSeq and is a predicted model, not a curated record.
GAACUCGGCUCGCAAGGAAAUUUCAACAUUGUCGAGGAAGCAUCAUUGUAUCAGUGAAGUUUCGGUUCAGUUCUUAUCCUCGAGACACUUUUGUUGUUUCCUUCUUUCCCCCAUCAGAGCUCACUCCGCGCUGAUAGGAAGUUGACUGACUGGAAUACAGGGAGAAACUAAGCCUGGGCGCAAAACACUUCUCCUGAUGAUGGUUUAUC